RNAcentral lists this ribosomal RNA (253 nucleotides) under uncultured bacterium. Its description in RNAcentral is "partial 16S ribosomal RNA". It matches the Rfam family "Bacterial small subunit ribosomal RNA", at positions 524 to 776 of the family's 1533-position model. The record is from RNAcentral.
UACGGAGGGGGCUAGCGUUGUUCGGAAUUACUGGGCGUAAAGCGCACGUAGGCGGCUUUGUAAGUUAGAGGUGAAAGCCCGGGGCUCAACUCCGGAAUUGCCUUUAAGACUGCAUCGCUAGAAUUGUGGAGAGGUAAGUGGAAUUCCGAGUGUAGAGGUGAAAUUCGUAGAUAUUCGGAAGAACACCAGUGGCGAAGGCGACUCGCUGGAAAAGUAUUGACGCUGAGGUGCGAAAGCGUGGGGAGCAAACAGG